RNAcentral lists this microRNA (24 nucleotides) under Ananas comosus (pineapple). RNAcentral describes it as "microRNA s0095_c044". The record is from RNAcentral. Lineage: Eukaryota; Viridiplantae; Streptophyta; Magnoliopsida; Poales; Bromeliaceae.
ACUUGGUGGACAAUUUCACAACCC